CACGUAGGGGCCAAGCGUUGUCCGGAUUUAUUGGGCGUAAAGAGCGCGCAGGCGGUCGUUCAAGUCGCGUGUGAAAGCCCCCGGCUCAACUGGGGAGGGUCACGCGAUACUGAUCGACUCGAAGGCAGGAGAGGGUAGUGGAAUUCCCGGUGUAGUGGUGAAAUGCGUAGAUAUCGGGAGGAACACCAGUGGCGAAGGCGACUACCUGGCCUGUUCUUGACGCUGAGGCGCGAAAGCUAGGGGAGCAAACGGG
Molecule: ribosomal RNA, 253 nt
Filed under: uncultured bacterium
Lineage: Bacteria
Description: partial 16S ribosomal RNA
Rfam family: Bacterial small subunit ribosomal RNA
Source: RNAcentral